AUGGUGUAUGAGCCUUUACUGGGAUUACCUCCUAUAUUGUUUGCUUCUAUACUGUGAACUUUUGGCGAUGAAGGUCGUAACUGACCUUCGGGAGAGACUCAGGACAUAUAGGCUAUAUGGGUAGGCCUGUUCUGGGGUUUGAUCGAUGCCAAUCAGGAUUAUCUUUCUUCCUUUGGGAAGGAAGGUGCCUGGUACCCUUUGCCAUAUACCAUGAAUUCAGAAUUAAAAGUAUAAUAAAAUAACAACUUUUAACAAUGGAUCUCUUGGUUCUCGCAUCGAUGAAGAACGUAGCAAAGUGCGAUAACUAGUGUGAAUUGCAUAUUCGUGAAUCAUCGAGUCUUUGAACGCAGCUUGCACUCUAUGGAUCUUCUAUAGAGUACGCUUGCUUCAGUAUCAUAACAAACCCACACAUAAAAUUUAUUUUAUGUGGUGAUGGGCAAGUUCGGCAGUUUUGCUGAUUGUCUAAAAUACAGCUCCUUUGUAAUUCUCGCAUCGAAUUACGAACUACCUAGCCAUUGUGCUUUUUUGGUCCAAAACCAAAAAACAUUAACCUAGGGGUUCUGCCAGCCAGCAGAUAUUCUAGAUGCCUUCUCAACUAUGAUCUGAAGUCAAGUGGGACUACCCGCUGA
This 629-nucleotide ribosomal RNA is filed under the name Rhizopus sp. JFT-103. RNAcentral describes it as "eukaryotic LSU rRNA". The stretch from base 244 to 396 matches the Rfam family "5.8S ribosomal RNA". Lineage: Eukaryota; Fungi; Mucoromycota; Mucoromycetes; Mucorales; Rhizopodaceae. The record is from RNAcentral.